RNAcentral lists this microRNA precursor (201 nucleotides) under Oryza brachyantha (malo sina). Its description in RNAcentral is "MIR812 microRNA precursor family". It matches the Rfam family "MIR812 microRNA precursor family". Lineage: Eukaryota; Viridiplantae; Streptophyta; Magnoliopsida; Poales; Poaceae. The record is from Rfam by way of RNAcentral.
AAUAAAUUAAUCUUUUGCUUUUUUCUAUAAUGUUUGACUCUUUGUCUUAUUAAAAAAAUCAUGAUUAAUAUUUUUAUUUUUAUUAGAAGAUAAAUCAUGAAUAGUUUUUUACGUGUGACUAAUCUUUUCAAUUUCUUGAAAUUUUUUUAAAUAAGAUGGAUGGUCAUACGCUGUACAUGGAUAGUCAAAGUUUGUCUUAUU